AUGGGAGGGACGGAACUGGAAAGUCCUGCCCGUUCGGGGGAUAAAACGUACAAAGCCCCACACGUGAAUCUAAUGCUAUCAUCAUCUAGUGAUAGCGUUAACCAAGGGGGUGGGAGCAAUGAAACUCCUUUAACUAUUGACUUGAACCGACCGGCUCAGGAUCAGGAAGAUAUUCGGCAAUAUGCCGAAUCAAUCAAGGACUUUAGAAUUGACGAGCAAUUUGAGAGUUUCAAAAACAAUCAAUUCACUAAACCGCUCUAUGAUAAAUUAUGUGCCUACGUGGGAGAUGCGGAGGCUGUAAAAAACACAUGCAUACGAGAAAUCUCGGAGAACUUUCAUUCAACAGACGCUGGGUUAAUUGAUUUCGUCAAGCAGACGGAUGACAGUGAAGGGCAAAGAAGAGUGAUAUUUGAUCUUAUCAACCUUCAUUUUAAGGAUGAGCUAGAGAAACUCCCACCCGAACUCCAACAAAAUGAAAAUCAAGAGGACGACGGGGAGGGAUAA
Molecule: ribosomal RNA, 504 nt
Filed under: Triticum aestivum (bread wheat)
Lineage: Eukaryota; Viridiplantae; Streptophyta; Magnoliopsida; Poales; Poaceae
Description: partial small subunit ribosomal RNA
Source: RNAcentral